UUGGCCUAGUGGUCAAGGCCUAGGACUUGGGCUUUUAAGGCCUUAGGUUCGAAACCUCGCAGAACAU
Rhododendron griersonianum is the source of this 67-nucleotide non-coding RNA. NCBI's taxonomy places the organism in Eukaryota, Viridiplantae, Streptophyta, Magnoliopsida, Ericales, Ericaceae. The record is from the annotation of a GenBank genome assembly.